Molecule: unclassified non-coding RNA, 373 nt
Filed under: soil metagenome
Description: partial contains 5.8S ribosomal RNA, internal transcribed spacer 2, and large subunit ribosomal RNA
Rfam family: 5.8S ribosomal RNA (bases 1-121)
Source: RNAcentral
GAUGAAGAACGUAGCGAAAUGCGAUAAGUAAUGCGAAUUGCAGAAUUCCAGUGAGUCAUCGAAUCUUUGAACGCACAUUGCGCCCUUUGGUAUUCCGAAGGGCAUGCCUGUUCGAGCGUCAUUAUCACCCCUCAAGCCCUCGGCUUGGUGUUGGACGGUUUGGUGGAGGCCCCCUCGGGGGCUCCUGCCCCUCCCAAAGACAAUGACGGCGGCCUCGUUGGACCCCCGGUACACUGAGUUCUUCACGGGACACGUAUCGGACACAUGGGUUUACGGGACACGGUCUGCCUCCCCUCAGGGUGAAUCUUUCUAAGGUUGACCUCGGAUCAGGUAGGGAUACCCGCUGAACUUAAGCAUAUCAAUAAGCGGAGGA